UGGGGAAUUUUGCACAAUGGGGGAAACCCUGAUGCAGCGACGCCGCGUGAUUUAGAAGGCCUUCGGGUUGUAAAAAUCUUUUCUAUGGGAAGAAAAUGACAGUACCAUAGGAAUAAGGACCGGCUAAUUACGUGCCAGCAGCCGCGGUAAUACGUAAGGUCCGAGCGUUGUCCGGAAUCAUUGGGCGUAAAGGGUACGUAGGCGGGUAAGCAAGUUAGAAGUGAAAUCCUAUAGCUCAACUAUAGUAAGCUUUUAAAACUGCUCAUCUUGUGGUAUGGAAGAGAAAGUGGAAUUCCUAGUGUAGCGGUGAAAUGCGCAGAUAUUAGGAGGAAGACCGGUAGCGAAGGCGACUUUCUGGCCAUAACCUGACGCUGAGGUACGAAAGCGUGGGUAGCAAACAGG
Molecule: ribosomal RNA, 402 nt
Filed under: bacterium
Lineage: Bacteria
Description: partial 16S ribosomal RNA
Rfam family: Bacterial small subunit ribosomal RNA
Source: RNAcentral